This is a long non-coding RNA of Melospiza melodia melodia, 2100 nucleotides long. RefSeq lists it as uncharacterized. The record is from RefSeq and is a predicted model, not a curated record. Lineage: Eukaryota; Metazoa; Chordata; Aves; Passeriformes; Passerellidae. The transcript has 7 exons.
AAACAAGAGUUCAGUCAACUGAGCACCUUACAGGAGAGAUUGGAAGCCUGUGGACAUGACCCAGGAAGAAUCAGGGGAUGAAUAUAUUGAGGGACACAAGAGGAGGAAGACCACCUUGCUCUGACAGUCAAGGACACCUUCAUCCAUGCUGAGCUGUAAAUCCCAUCUGAAAGUGAUGGGAUUUUAGGCAGGACACAAAUGUAUGAGCUUAUAGCCUGCAGGGAAAACUGCUCUUUAGCUAGUGAGGCAAAUAAACAAGAAAGAGGUCAUUUUAUGACAUUUUAUCCUCAGACAUGACCCUGGAAAUGGAGACAUGGGCCAAUCACUGGAAAAAAUGCUGACUAACCUUGUAAAGAAAAUGAGGAGGAGGAGCUAAAAGAAGUGUGACACACAGAAAGUGAAGGGUAUGAAACCUGAAUCCAGAACCUGGGAAGUGUUCCUGUGUCAUCAUCACCUUGGAUAAAAUCAAGACUUCUUAUGCCUGAAUAGAAUUCUUUCCCGGUGCCUAGUUUGAGAUGGAAAGGUCUAGGCCUGAGGAGACAUUGAUGUUGUGAUGUUCUCUUGGGACACAGUGACAAAGUCCAGGUAAGGUCCCCUGGUGGUUCCCAGAUGUGUGGAGAUCUGGUGGGAGACAACUGGCUUACCAUGCAGGAAUAGUCAAGCACAGAGGAAAAGGGGCUGGGUCCACUUAGAAAUCACUUCUAACCAACACAAAGUUGCUGCUGGGAAUCAUGCAGGUUGUGGUAGAAAAUUGUAACACUGUUCUGGUGUCGUCUUUUGCAAGUCUUUUGGCACAAAAAGAUCAAUUUUGCAUGGCUGUCUGCAGGAAAGAAAGGGAAGUGGACACAGAAACCUACAGGAGGUCUAACUUCUGUGCAGAUGUUUGUCAAAAUAAUUCUCUAUAAGCAAAGAAUCCUUUCAAUGACUUUUUAGAGGCUAUUUUUCUCCACAGUAAAGUCUGUCAGUUUGCUCAUCUGUAUUUUAAGUGCUUUGCAAAUAUCUUCAGCAGAAGAAAACAUGAUACCAUGACCCUGAGUAUCAGAUCAGUAACUUGAUUCUCAUCAAAGAAAACAAAAAUAGAGAGCAUGUGAUCUCCUCUCACCAUCUGAACAAAGCACUCAGCUCACAAAUAACCCAGUGCUUUUAGGCGCAGAGAGAGAACUCCUUGGUGAGUAACUGUGAAUAGCAAAUGAAGGAGAUUUUGAAUCAGCCUGUGGGAAAUGCUGGAAAAGACAUAGUGGGUACCUUUAAUAGUCAAGGUAUUUGCUAACACGCCUGCCUUUGUUUUUCUUUCUGUCAGAUGCCCCAUUCACCUGUGUCUGAACUGCUGACACCAGCAGGAGCUUGGCUCCCUAUCCCUCUGCUGAGAUCUGUGGGGAGUAUCAAGCAGGGACUCUAUCAGCUGAGGUGCAUUAUUCUUGACACAGUCUGAAAGAAAGCAUUUGCUCCUUGAGACUGUGUGACACACAGCAUGCAGGCUUCUGCUUCAGAAACUCCGUUGCUCAUUAUAGAAAUGUUAAGUUUACUCUCCACUCUGGCAGCUUUGCUUCGGCAGAAGAAAAUAAUACAUCCAACAAGUUAUCCUAACGCCUAUGGACUGGCACCAAUAAACAAAUCUCUGUCUCCUUGUGCUUGAAGCAGCUGCUGGUGAUUACCCUCCUCCCGUGGAGACAGAAACACAUCUGGUGUCUGCAGAGCAGCAAAGAAGCAGAGUGGAGAUGAGCCAAAGCAGCCGUCCCUGGUAUGCACAGCUGCAUCAGCUCAGCACUGCUGCUCCACCUGAGCCAUGGCUUGUGCAGGCACUGGGUCAGGGUGGUUAUUAGGAGGAGGAGGAAAAUAUAAAGGGUUCUUUUCCUCCUUCAUGCUUCCCCACUGCAUCUGAAUCAUUUGGCUUUGCCUUAGAUUUUAUAUGUGGCCAUUGUUCCCAUUCUUCCGCAUUCCUCAUGAUCACAUUAAAAAGAUUACCAAGGUGGCCUAAAUUAGCAUGUUUGUAAUCUUUGAUGAAAAUUUCCCUAUGCGAAGAAGAAAAAUACAACAUCCUACCACUCAUCUGUUUGUCUAAUGGCUUAUUUGUGACCUGUAGAAAUAAAACUGUGGAGA